UCCGGUUUAACACCGGCGGUCUCCCUAGAGUCCCCAACUUAAUGCUGGUAACUAAGGACAGGGGUUGCGCUCGUUUUUGGACUUAACCAGACAUCUUACGACACGAGCUGACGACAGCCAUGCAGCACCUAUCUCCAGGUCACCGAAGUGAAGCAUACAUCUCUGCAUGCGUCCUGGGAUGUUAAGAGUAGGUAAGGUUCUGCGCGUUGCUUCGAAUUAAACCACAUACUCCACCGCUUGUGCGGGCCCCCGUCAAUUCCUUUGAGUUUUAGCCUUGCGACCGUACUCCCCAGGCGGGAUACUUAAUGCGUUAGCUUCAGUACUCAGGAGGUUAACUUCCCAAACACCUAGUAUCCAUCGUUUAUGGUGCGGACUAC
RNAcentral lists this unclassified non-coding RNA (377 nucleotides) under uncultured Oligoflexaceae bacterium. RNAcentral's name for it is "contains 16S-23S intergenic spacer region". Lineage: Bacteria; Pseudomonadati; Bdellovibrionota; Oligoflexia; Oligoflexales; Oligoflexaceae. The record is from RNAcentral.